AACUACCUGAGUUACGUAUGAUUACCUGCUGAACUUAAGCAUAUCAUUUAGCGGAGGA
RNAcentral lists this ribosomal RNA (58 nucleotides) under Bursaphelenchus parvispicularis. Its description in RNAcentral is "partial LSU RNA". The record is from RNAcentral. Lineage: Eukaryota; Metazoa; Nematoda; Chromadorea; Rhabditida; Aphelenchoididae. RNAcentral also lists the same sequence under 1 other name.